Molecule: long non-coding RNA, 805 nt
Filed under: Schistocerca americana (American grasshopper)
Lineage: Eukaryota; Metazoa; Arthropoda; Insecta; Orthoptera; Acrididae
Description: uncharacterized LOC124545420, transcript variant X1
Source: RNAcentral
CUCUGCCCGUCGUACAGGUUGACUUUUCUCAACGAAUAUACGUUUCGAAACGACAUAGAGUAAAUACUUAAUACGAAACAACAAAGGUAUUGGUCAUUGUCAACAUAAAUUGUGAUUUACGUAUUGCUGCUACGGAUUAACGUGCUUACAUGAAGUAAUAAAUGCAAUCAAAGACCCAAAAUACAGUUAGAAUUUACUGAGGUCGUAGUGAAUAUCAGCAUCCUUCAGGACAGAAACUUAUACAGUGGUAAAGAGGUAGAAGAUGGAUGACCAAAACUGAGAGAGAAUUCUAGGACAGAAAAGAUGUAGAUGUUGGAUAACCAUCCAGGAACAGAACCGUAGGACAAGAAAGAUGUAGAUGAUGGGUGACCAAGCUGGGACAGAAUGCCAAGACAGGAAAGAUGUAGAAAUGAGUGGACCAGGAAGCAAAGAAUCAUUACACCAAGGUGUGCUCGGUUGUCUUGGACACUCCUAAUGUCCCCUGUGACAGGUCAGCCAGCAGCGACAAAGUCAUUAGUAUCAGGGUGGACACCCACCUUCCAGGCAACGAGAACAGCAGCUCAUCAUCGACGAUGUUUUCUUUUUCUAUUGUGGUGGGCAUCCGCAUACUAUAAGCGCAGCCAAUACACUAGCAGCACCACGUGUCGACGUCACGGGCACAGAGAAGACGCUGGAGACGCUGUGGCUCUGCUGUUACCACAACAGAAACAUUACAUCAUUGUGAGGCUAACAUCAGUACAGUCAGAAAUGUUUACCUGGCAUUUAAAACUGAUUUUUGUUUACAAUAAACAAAUUAUUUGAGCAA